GCCAAAACGAGUAUCUUAUCAACCAAGCGUGGGGGCUGAGAGCCAACCUGGGAGGGGCUGAGCGGGUGCCUCUGGACCAGAGACUGAGAUCCCGCAGCCCACGGAGAGGACAGACUCUCCCGAUAGACAACCCGAGGAGACCACCUGAUGAAGAAGGACCGGAAGUGUUUUACACGCAAACUCAUUCACAAAUAGAUUCAUCAAGGGGGACAGUUACCAAGUGAGAUUAAAGCCGUGGGAAGUUCAAGCGAUGAUGGAGGAAGGUAGGUGAGGAAAGGCGUAAAUGGAGGAGAGGAAUGAAUGGACAUGGAGAAAGGCGAGAGGGGACAAACAAGUCAGAGGAGAAAUGAGCAGGAACGUUGGACUUCGAACGGAAGCAGGCGCCCCGGGGCUGACGUGGUCAGGACAACCCGGAAGCCUGGCCUGGAGGGGCCAAACGACGGCCACUCGCAGAGCAGGGGCGGACGCAGAGCUGGCACACGAACACCAGCCUCCUCCGGGGUCGGGGGUGAACCCCGGCCUCACCCUCCUCUCAGGCCGGCUGGAGGGCGGGCGUGAAGGACAGCGGAGGAGGGGGAGAGGCAGCCGUUACCCUGGGGCGCACCUCUCGGCACCCUGUAAGCUCCAGGCCCGCCAGCGGCUGGGCACGCUCCACAGAGACUUGGUGGCAUUUUGUUACAGCAGCCCUGGAAACAAAUACAGGGACUAAGUCCAGAUAGAUGGGGAGGGACUCCAGGAGGCUCACGGUGCAGCUAAGCGUUGCCCAGGAAGGACAAAGGACCACCCACCAAGCCGCAGGCAGCGGAAGACACCAGAAGAGGAAAUACGGAAAACACAGACCGCAUCUUAGGCAGUGCCGCAGGGAUUUCACCGGGGACCCGAUAUUUCCUUCUCUCUGGAGAGACUUCUCGGCCCACGCCUCAUCCCUCCCCGGGAUCCCUGCUCCCUCAGUUUGCUGUGCACCAAGACAUCUACUGUGCUGUCGGUCCCAGGGCCAAGAGCUGCUGGAGGUGGAAAGAUGUCUGUGAUGCCAUGUUAUCCUCCAGGAGCUGAUGUCGCCCCCGGGUGCUGCUGGGCAUGGACAGAACAGUAACAGAAGGCAGAAAGUGAUGUUGCCGAAGUUGCCUCUUACAAAACAACUUGAGUAAAAAACAAACUCAUGUGGCGGAUACAGGUCAUCACGCAUUUGUCCAGACCUAAGGAAGAUCCCAAGAGUGAGCCCUACUGCAAACUGGGACUGUGGUAAGGUGCCACCGAUGCCCACUGUGACAUCAAAACUGACAGGGGAGGAGGCUGUCCUUAAAACUCUAAAAAUAAAAUCUCCUCAGGCCUCUUCAAUGUCCCCUGUAUUGCGUGUGUGCAAGGUGUGAGUGUGUAUUGUCCAUGUAUCAGUAUUGGGAUGAAUUUUAUCGUGUGGCCUCCUGUGGUUUAAGACUGAGGCUGUUUCUAUGUCCUGCAAAUCUCUUCAGAUCUGCACAAGAGAACACUGGAAAGCUGAAGCACUUACAGUGGACCCUCGAGUUUCAACUGGCCCGACAUACAAACAACUUGGGUUGUGACCAGAAUUUUAGUUUUAACUUACAACCAAAGUUUUGAGUUACAACUUGAAUCCCAGCCGCUUGUGCUUCCAGAUGGUCUCGGGUGCAGAUCUAACCCUUAGAGAGUCUGGAAGGAACAUGACAGCAUCCUCUCCUGUGUGGGGUUCACUGAGAAAUCCUGGGUCAGUG
Non-coding RNA from Heterocephalus glaber (naked mole-rat), 1727 nucleotides. NCBI's taxonomy places the organism in Eukaryota, Metazoa, Chordata, Mammalia, Rodentia, Bathyergidae. The record is from RefSeq and is a predicted model, not a curated record.